ACUUGUUUCGGGUUUUUGUGAUUAGUGUGUUGUGUCUUAAGAAGAUUGUGUGGUUCUUGAAAGAUCCUAACAUUCAUUGUGAUUGCUUAUGUGAACUAAAAUUGGGGAAGUGAUGCUUUAAUUUGUAAUUUGUUGGUCUAGUGCUGUUGCUCUAACCGAGCUUUGUUGGGGAAGUGAUGUUUUGUUUGUAUCUUUUUGGUUGAGAUUGUCGUUGCUUUAACCAACCUUUGAUUGUGAAGUGAUUUGGUCGUGCAAAGGAGAGAAAUAUUGAGCCAAACUAGAGAAAAGUGAGGUGAAGUGGUGAUCUGAAAUGGUGAAACAAACUUACUCAUGGGAUGAGCUUGUGGAAAGGCACAAGGGGUGGACGUGAGCUCUUCUAAGGUUUUAGGGGUAAAAAGAAGGCAGGUUUCUAUUCAUUCUGGCUCCAAAUCCAGAGACAAGGUUGUUAUUGUGGAGGAGAUGACUCUACAAAGUGUUUUUGACAUCCUGGACAAAGCUUUGAAAUCCACCUAAUAGAGUGAGAUGAAUUUGAUCCUUGAAUGAGACGUGAAGCUUGAUUGUACUGUAGCAGCUAACCGAGUCGCUUGUGUUUAUUGGAAAUUGUCUUGUUGAUGUUCCGGGUACUUCAAAACUGGCAUUGUUUGCGUUGUCUACACACAAAUGACUACUAACAAAUGCAUCUUUUAAUACACUUAUACCACAAUGAGUACA
This is a non-coding RNA of Prunus avium (sweet cherry), 711 nucleotides long. The record is from RefSeq and is a predicted model, not a curated record. NCBI's taxonomy places the organism in Eukaryota, Viridiplantae, Streptophyta, Magnoliopsida, Rosales, Rosaceae.